Molecule: long non-coding RNA, 288 nt
Filed under: Nicotiana tabacum (common tobacco)
Lineage: Eukaryota; Viridiplantae; Streptophyta; Magnoliopsida; Solanales; Solanaceae
Description: long non-coding RNA (NTAB_LNC011951)
Source: RNAcentral
UUCUUUUUUUUCGACUUCUGACUUCCCCUUCUUUAAAUUAUGCCUUCCUUUCUUUCUCCUCAAAUUCUACCUUCAUCUUUUUCCAAAUUAUGCCUUCCUUUCGUUUUUCCAACUUCUGCCUUUAUCUUAGGUGAAAGAUUCAUCAGACUAAGAUUUUUAUCUUAGGUGAAAGAUUUAACAGACUAAGAUUUCUUUAUCUUAGGUGAAAGAUUCAACAGACUAAGAUUUCUUUAUCUUAGGUGAAAAAUUCAACAGACUAAGAUUUUUAUCUUUUAACCAUUUUCCUUC